RNAcentral lists this unclassified non-coding RNA (167 nucleotides) under uncultured Helotiales. RNAcentral describes it as "sequence contains ITS1". Lineage: Eukaryota; Fungi; Ascomycota; Leotiomycetes; Helotiales. The record is from RNAcentral.
CAGAGUUCAUGCCCUUACGGGUAGAUCUCCCACCCUAUGUUAUUAUUACUUUGUUGCUUUGGCGGGCCGUUGGGUUCGCGCCCGACUAUCGGCUCCGGCUGGUAAGCGCCCGCCAAAGGAAUCAACACCCUGAAUGUUAGUGUCGUCUGAGUACUAUAUAAUAGUUA